Non-coding RNA from Monodelphis domestica (gray short-tailed opossum), 729 nucleotides. The record is from RefSeq and is a predicted model, not a curated record. Lineage: Eukaryota; Metazoa; Chordata; Mammalia; Didelphimorphia; Didelphidae.
GUUUAACGUAACCAUCUCCAGAGUGUCCAGCGAUAUCGUACUGCCCACAAGAGAAUCAAACAGUCAGAAAUUCACACGUGCUUUUGACUAUCACCAGCAAAUCCAAAACUAGAUGGUGAGGAAGUCAAAGGAAAAGACCAGCAAGUGGUUAAUGAUGGGAACUGAAUGAACCACAUGGACGCCAUCUUGGGAUGCAGUUCUGAAGCUAGCUUUGUUCCUUUUCUAUUCAAUUAUGGGCCUAGUCUGACUUCUGUCUUGGGAGAAAAGUUUAUUCAUUUGCAGGAAUUGGGAGAAAACCUUCUUGCAUUGUUUGAACCUAGCCCCGCAUGUCUGGAAAGUGGACCAUUUAUCCAGCUAGGGACCCUUAACCAAGGACAGUCAGAUCCAAAAUGGAUGUAAGGAGUUUUCUCAUUUAUUUAUCUUAAGCAAGCCAUGUGUCUUAUCUGAGAACUUAUCCUAUACUGAUCAAUUAGUUGUUUCCAUGUUCAUUUAAUUGUGUCUGGAUACUUAGGGAGGAGUGAAAUACCUCUUUUCCAAGAAACUGUAUCUGUUCACUCUCCCCUCCCAACUUGGAAAGUUUCAUCUUUCAUCCAAUUAGAAAUCAGAUUACCUAAUGCUGUAUUUUUCUCAUUUCAUUAAUUGGCCUUAUCUGGUGAAUUGUUUUUAUAUAAAAUCUGUCUCUUUGUGAAUAUGAUUUAUUAUGUAUUUAAAUAAAGUAAGCUAAACAUU